GAGGUGUUCUAUUCUCCUCUGAAGAGAAGGAUGCAACACAAUGUUUCCAAAAGCAGAUUUAUUUUGUCCAGGUGCUGCCAAUCCAGCAGCUGUACCAAAGUUGAAUCCUUUGUCAGCUACUCGAGAAAUUAUCCCUGACCAAGGAAAUCUUGACAUAGAUGAUUCCCGAAUUAAUGAUGGUUGUCCAAGAAUUCUGUUAAUAUAUCGUUGAAUCCUUUGUCAGCUACUCGAGAAAACAUCCCUGACCAAGGAAAUCUUGACAUAGAUGAUUCCCGAAUUAAUGAUGGUUGUCCAAGAAUUCUGUUAAUAUAUCCCCAGGUAACUCUGGCACCUUCC
This 336-nucleotide long non-coding RNA is filed under the name Nicotiana benthamiana. RNAcentral's name for it is "long non-coding RNA (NBEN_LNC005877)". The record is from RNAcentral. Lineage: Eukaryota; Viridiplantae; Streptophyta; Magnoliopsida; Solanales; Solanaceae.